CCUUGUUUGAAAACCUCUUGAGUUUAUUUAUCUCAUUCUUUGUUUAAACUCAUUACAAGGCAUAAAGUGAAAAACAAUUUUUAUCACCUUAUUUAAAGGGUUGAAAGUGCUUGUUGGAGUUGUGUGGGGUUAAAUUAGCACCGAUAUACAUGUGUUGUUUCAAGGUUUGACAAAAAAGAAAAAGAAAAAUAGAAAGAAAAUAAAGAAGGAAGAAAACUCUUAUCCUUAUUGCAUUCCUUCUUGGGGGAAAGUAAAAAAAAAUGAAAGAGAAGACAAAACGUAAAAGUGUUAUUUGAAAGUGAAUUAAAUAUUUUUAGUUCAACUCCCGCAGCUCUUUUCAAUUUUCUUUUGACUCUUUGAAUUUUA
Molecule: long non-coding RNA, 366 nt
Filed under: Lathyrus oleraceus (garden pea)
Lineage: Eukaryota; Viridiplantae; Streptophyta; Magnoliopsida; Fabales; Fabaceae
Description: Pisum sativum (pea) long non-coding RNA (PSAT_LNC012479)
Source: RNAcentral